This 484-nucleotide ribosomal RNA is filed under the name uncultured bacterium. RNAcentral's name for it is "partial 16S ribosomal RNA". It matches the Rfam family "Bacterial small subunit ribosomal RNA", at positions 30 to 507 of the family's 1533-position model. The record is from RNAcentral.
AUUGAACGCUGGCGGCAGGCCUAACACAUGCAAGUCGAGCGGAUGAAGGGAGCUUGCUCCUGGAUUCAGCGGCGGACGGGUGAGUAAUGCCUAGGAAUCUGCCUGGUAGUGGGGGAUAACGUCCGGAAACGGGCGCUAAUACCGCAUACGUCCUGAGGGUGAACGUGGGGGAUCUUCGGACCUCACGCUAUCAGAUGAGCCUAGGUCGGAUUAGCUAGUUGGUGGGGUAAAGGCCUACCAAGGCGACGAUCCGUAACUGGUCUGAGAGGAUGAUCAGUCACACUGGAACUGAGACACGGUCCAGACUCCUACGGGAGGCAGCAGUGGGGAAUAUUGGACAAAGGGCGAAAGCCUGAUCCAGCCAUGCCGCGUGUGUGAAGAAGGUCUUCGGAUUGUAAAGCACUUUAAGUUGGGAGGAAGGGCAGUAAGUUAAUACCUUGCUGUUUUGACGUUACCAACAGAAUAAGCACCGGCUAACUUCGUG